Molecule: ribosomal RNA, 501 nt
Filed under: uncultured bacterium
Lineage: Bacteria
Description: bacterial SSU rRNA
Rfam family: Bacterial small subunit ribosomal RNA
Source: RNAcentral
AGAGUUUGAUCAUGGCUCAGAUUGAACGCUGCGGCAUGCCUUACACAUGCAAGUCGAACGGUAACGGGCCUUCGGGUGCCGACGAGCGGCGAGCGGGUGAGUAAUGUAUCGGAACGUACCUUUCAGUGGGGGAUAACGUAGCGAAAGUUACGCUAAUACCGCAUAUUCUGUGAGCAGGAAAGCAGGGGAUCGCAAGACCUUGCGCUGAUUGAGCGGCCGAUAUCAGACUAGCUAGUUGGUGAGGUAAAGGCUCACCAAGGCGACGAUCUGUAGCGGGUCUGAGAGGAUGAUCCGCCACACUGGAACUGAGACACGGUCCAGACUCCUACGGGAGGCAGCAGUGGGGAAUUUUGGACAAUGGGGGCAACCCUGAUCCAGCCAUGCCGCGUGAGUGAAGAAGGCCUUCGGGUUGUAAAGCUCUUUCGGCCGGGAAGAAAUCGUAUGGGUUAAUACCCUGUGCGGAUGACGGUACCGGCAUAAGAAGCACCGGCUAACUACGUG